UUUACAACAGUGUUUGUGCUAAGACCAUCGUGACUUACAUAUUAUGACAUAGACUUACAUUUACAACAGUCUUAGCGAUAAGAUCAUCAAAACAAGCGUUCUAUGACACAGACUUUCAACAUUUACCACAGUCUUAGCGCUAAGAUCACUCUGUGCAAGAUGGUCCUGGUCGUUAACCCUCCUCCUAUACAGCCACCUCCCAAAUGAAAGGAAGUGACACCACACCCGAGAUUGCUUUGUUCUGAUUAACAGUGUCAUGACUGUUGUACAUGCUGCACCAUGUUGAGAAGGAACAAACUGUUGAUGAUCAUGUCCAGUGCAGACAGUCCUAUGAUGAGGAUGGGCCUAAUGAAGUGACUAUGUCCGUGUGGACAUCAGAUAUAUAUGCAAGGACAUUAGGAUGCUGUUCUCUGAUGCUGAUGCAGACCUGAGUCUGUUCCUGUGAAUUGAUAUUAAGAGUGUAUACUGCCUUGGAUGUGGCCAGUUUUAUCUGUCCACCAUAUUCAUUAAGCAUAACCUUUACAAUGUAUUGAAUGUGUAAAAGAGACAUAAACUGUAACAUAUGAGUAUUUGUUCUGACAAAUUGUAGAGUUAUUAAGUAUCUUUUGUGUUAUUGUUCAAGUGGAUAUGUCCUAUUCGUAAACUCUAAAAAGGUGCAGAACCUGAGAUGAGAUGAAAUCCCUGAGAUGAAAGUUGUCCUGUUUUGUUAGAGACAGUUUACCAGGAAAGAGUAACUGGUCCCACUGGAAGGUGGGGAUGUUUGUUCAUUGAUAAACGUGAUCUCCUGGCACUACAUUCAAGAGCUCUAGUGUUUUUAGAUCUACCAGGAUCUGUUUGUAGAUGAUCUGUUUCAUGAUUAUGUAGCAUAAUAUUGUAUUUAUUCAUUAAAUAGUAGAGUGCAAUGUAGGACUGGGCCUGUGGUUAGUCAAGUGAUAUAUUAUUUAAAUACAAUAACAAUAAAAGUCACUUAUGAUUGCAUUUCUUUCUGAUUUAUGCAUGCAUUGUUUCUGAUUUUUAUACAUUUCAGUAAAGACAGAUGGCAAAUGCGUGUGUGGACUUCAGAGUAUGCAUGAUCUGAUCGUUUUAUACGUGUAUGUAAACUGCUUCUAGGUUUGUCAGCACCAUUGCCUGCUCGCGGGUUUCACUGAAGUGGUAAACGUCUGAGACCUGCAUCACUUCGGGCUUUCCUCCCACAUUAUUUUGACACGCUGCGAUAUAACUGGAAUACUGUUAAAAGCGGUGUUAAACCCAACUCACUCACUUGUUAUCUCAGCUCAUCUGAAAUUGGUUUGAAAUCCAAAGAUUUAGUUUGGUCCUGUAAUGAUGAAAAAGCUGAAUAUCAUUCUGUCAUUCCUGCUACUAUAUACAUAUAUAUAUAUAUAUAUGCUUUGUCAAGAGGUUUGUUUCAGAUAAUUUGUUAUUAUCCUAUAUGAUAGUAAUCAUCGUUAACUGUGAGUUGUUGCAUGCUUUUUAUAAUAGUUUUUAAUGUCGCUAGGCUACUUAGAUUUGAGAUAUUGAAAAAGACUCACUAUUGGAAUAAGAUACAGUAAUUAUUUUACGAAGGGGUUAAAAGUCUCGAACAAUGUCAGUAAAUACAUGUGUACAGCCAUUGAACAAGCACUGAGAGAACUAUAUCUGAUCAAAGGGAUGUAACUCUGGUGGCACAUUUUUUGUUAACCAUCAUAGAAUAUUUCAUAGAGGAAAGGUUCUUAUUUCAUUUAUGUCUUUCUAGGAUAGAAAAGUAUAAAUAUUGUUGUACAUGUAUGUAUAUGUAUGGAAUGUAUUGUAUAAUGGAGAAUGUAGUGUUCAUUGGUUUAUAUUAAUAAUCUCUAGGUUGUUUGUACACAGUGUAGCUUCCUGGUAAUACUGUCACUGUUAGAUUUCAUCGAGGUGUUUUUCAAUUUUUAUUGGAUUGUUUAAACUCUUUAUACAUGGUUAGUUUACUUCUUUUACUGUUUUUAAUUUAUUAUUGCUUUAUAAGUUUACACAUUAAAGGCAAGAUACAACUAAGCUGCUUCAGAUUGCCAAAGUGCUUUGGUCAUUGACCAUUGAAAACCAUGACCCUCCAGUGUUAAGCAAUAUUACCCAAGACAUGGAUACCUGGUCCAUGAUUUUCCCAGAUAAUGGGUUGUCACUGAACCAGACUUCGAUUCACAGUCCAUCAUUUUCCAAGAUAAUGGGUCGAAUAUUGAAUAUCGAAGUCUUCACACCAAUCUGAAGCUCUGCAACUUGUCUGUUAUUUUCUUGGCAUUACUGAACUGAAGAAGCCUUUGAAUGGAAGAACUUGAAUUGGUGCUAUGUGUUCAUUUGCCUCUGGAUGAAAUGAUGAAGCCAUGUGUUUCAAGACUUUCGAUUAAAUGUUAUAUGAUAUACUUGCCACUACGAAAAGCUUUUACAUGUUUAUCAAUAUUUUGUACAAGGAGUCUGAACCUCACAUGUAACUUUUAUACUGCAAGAAGUGCAAAAGAGCAGAACAAGGUGAUUAAAUAUAUAGUCUUUGAA
Haliotis rufescens (red abalone) is the source of this 2502-nucleotide long non-coding RNA. RefSeq lists it as uncharacterized. The record is from RefSeq and is a predicted model, not a curated record. The transcript has 3 exons. NCBI's taxonomy places the organism in Eukaryota, Metazoa, Mollusca, Gastropoda, Lepetellida, Haliotidae.